AUUGAACGCUGGCGGCAUGCUUUACACAUGCAAGUCGAACGGUAACAGGCCUUAGGGUGCUGACGAGUGGCGAACGGGUGAGUAAUGCAUCGGAACGUGCCCAGAGGUGGGGGAUAACGCAGCGAAAGCUGUGCUAAUACCGCAUGUGAUCUGAGGAUGAAAGCGGGGGACCAGGCAGCAAUGUUUGGCCUCGCGCCUUUGGAGCGGCCGAUGUCAGAUUAGGUAGUUGGUGGGGUAAAGGCCUACCAAGCCGACGAUCUGUAGCUGGUCUGAGAGGACGACCAGCCACACUGGGACUGAGACACGGCCCAGACUCCUACGGGAGGCAGCAGUGGGGAAUUUUGGACAAUGGGCGCAAGCCUGAUCCAGCAAUGCCGCGUGCGGGAAGAAGGCCUUCGGGUUGUAAACCGCUUUUGUACGGAACGAAAAGGCUCUGGCUAAUACCUGGGGCUGAUGACGGUGCCGUAAGAAUAAGCACCGGCUAACUACGUG
This 492-nucleotide ribosomal RNA is filed under the name uncultured bacterium. Its description in RNAcentral is "partial 16S ribosomal RNA". It matches the Rfam family "Bacterial small subunit ribosomal RNA", at positions 30 to 507 of the family's 1533-position model. The record is from RNAcentral.